AAAAGACGGUAGGACGACCUCAAGUAGAUGGGCAAUACGAGGCUUGGAUGUUGGUCCAACAUACACCUAGAAAAUUUCCUCAAUGGCCUAAGAGAGGUACGACAAAGCAAAUAGCAAGCCCGGUGGUGGCCAUGUGCAUCCUGGUCAACAGCACAGGGCCACCAAAAAAAAGAUGGCCCAUUUUCAAAGCCCUAACAUACAUUUUUUUUUUUAAAAAUAAAAAAAAAUUAAAUGAAUGCCCUGCUAUUCUGCGAAUUCAUCAGUUCAACUCCCCACGCUUUCCUUUCUAGAGAAUUCAACGCUCCAUUAUCUCCCCUGAAUUACUCCUUGUUUCCAAUAUUAUCCCAAAUUCCCAAUUCCAAUAAUCUUAUUUUCAAUCCUUCCAUACUCUAAUCAUCAAUUUCGAUUUAUCACUCUUAAAUUUGAAUGGAAGAAUCGAAAAAUUCAUCUGGAUUUUCAUUUGAUAAUUUGGAUAAUUGGAUCCUCUAUUUGAUUAGAAUUGAAAAGGGGUGAGAUUUGGGGAUUUGUUGGAGAUGAAGAACCAAAAUCGCAGAGGCACAACUAAAGAUUAGGAGCGCUAAAGAUGAGGAGCAGAUAUUGAUUUUUCAUCCGGAAAUUAUUGUUCAAUCGGCUAAAAAUCACCAUGUUGCAUUGGUCCGUCUUUUACUUUCAAGUACAUUUUAUUACUGAGUAUUAUGUUUUUUUUUUUUUUGGAGGGAAGAGUAUUAUGUAUUUUAUUGUUCGUUAAAUAGUUUUUAGAAUAUUAACUUAGUUUCUUGUAAUAUGGCUUCUAAACGAAAGCAUAAAGAAGUGGAUUUCAAUAUUUCUCAA
Molecule: long non-coding RNA, 831 nt
Organism: Spinacia oleracea (spinach)
Lineage: Eukaryota; Viridiplantae; Streptophyta; Magnoliopsida; Caryophyllales; Amaranthaceae
Exons: 2
Source: RefSeq, a predicted model, not a curated record